Non-coding RNA from Podarcis lilfordi (Lilford's wall lizard), 135 nucleotides. The record is from the annotation of a GenBank genome assembly. NCBI's taxonomy places the organism in Eukaryota, Metazoa, Chordata, Lepidosauria, Squamata, Lacertidae.
GUUUGUGUGCAUCAUAUGUGGUCAUUAUCCCACAUUCUCCAUUGCAAAUAUUCCUUCGCCUUUUUGUGAUGAGAAAAGCGAAGGAAUCAUUGCGCUAGAAAACAUGGGAUAACGACCAAAUAUGGUGCAUACAAA